GGAAAGCCAGAUGCUAUACUCCCUUUCUCCCUGAAGGUUUCUGAACCAAGCCAGGCCUAACCUCUGGCUAUAAACAAGAGAACUACAGCUUGAACAGUUGUAUCCCUCCAAAAUUCAUGAUGAAACUUAAUCUCCACUGGAACACACUAAGAGGCAAGGCCUUGGGGAGUUGACUGGUUCCUGAAGGAUCCUCCAUCUUGAAUGGGGUGAGGUCCUCAGAAUGAAGAUCAUGGGAACACUCAACUUCUGCUCUGGCAUCUUUCACCAACUGAAGGAACAAUGUUCAACAAACCACUUUGUUUUGAUGCCCAUUUCCAGCCGGCUAUGUCAG
Molecule: long non-coding RNA, 331 nt
Filed under: Cricetulus griseus (Chinese hamster)
Lineage: Eukaryota; Metazoa; Chordata; Mammalia; Rodentia; Cricetidae
Description: lncRNA (ENSCGRG00015031243.1)
Source: RNAcentral